RNAcentral lists this ribosomal RNA (525 nucleotides) under uncultured bacterium. RNAcentral's name for it is "bacterial SSU rRNA". It matches the Rfam family "Bacterial small subunit ribosomal RNA", at positions 984 to 1509 of the family's 1533-position model. The record is from RNAcentral.
ACAUCCAGAGAACUUAGCAGAGAUGCUUUGGUGCCUUCGGGAACCUCUGAGACAGGUGCUGCAUGGCUGUCGUCAGCUCGUGUUGUGAAAUGUUGGUUAAGUCCCGNAACGAGCGCAACCCUUAUCCUUUGUUGCCAGCGGUUCGGCCGGGAACUCAAAGGAGACUGCCGGUGAUAAACCGGAGGAAGGUGGGGAUGACGUCAAGUCAUCAUGGCCCUUACGGCCAGGGCUACACACGUGCUACAAUGGCGCAUACAAAGAGAAGCGACCUCGCGAGAGCAAGCGGACCUCAUAAAGUGCGUCGUAGUCCGGAUUGGAGUCUGCAACUCGACUCCAUGAAGUCGGAAUCGCUAGUAAUCGUAGAUCAGAAUGCUACGGUGAAUACGUUCCCGGGCCUUGUACACACCGCCCGUCACACCAUGGGAGUGGGUUGCAAAAGAAGUAGGUAGCUUAACCUUCGGGAGGGCGCUUACCACUUUGUGAUUCAUGACUGGGGUGAAGUCGUAACAAGGUAGGCGUAGCGAG